RNAcentral lists this transfer RNA (92 nucleotides) under Verticillium dahliae. RNAcentral describes it as "tRNA-Pro". Lineage: Eukaryota; Fungi; Ascomycota; Sordariomycetes; Glomerellales; Plectosphaerellaceae. The record is from RNAcentral. RNAcentral also lists the same sequence under 3 other names.
GCGCCGUUGGUCUAGUGGUAUGAUUCUCGCUUAGGGUUACACCCUGAAGCACUGCUUGCGAGAGGUCCCGGGUUCAAUCCCCGGAUGGCGCC